Molecule: long non-coding RNA, 423 nt
Organism: Amphimedon queenslandica
Lineage: Eukaryota; Metazoa; Porifera; Demospongiae; Haplosclerida; Niphatidae
Exons: 2
Source: RefSeq, a predicted model, not a curated record
CUCACCAGAAGAUGCGUCUACGGUAUCAGGAAAAUUAACUGAGCUAUCAGCUGAAGGAGCCAAAGCUGUUUAUAGUGAAUUUAUGGGAACCAGCUCAGAUAAGGACUGGAAGAACUGGAAAGUCUUCAUGCAAAUGAUACUUACCUGGGAAGAAAAGAAUGAAGAUGGAAAGAGACAAUUUUUAUCAAAGCUUCGGUCAAUAGAUUUAGUUGAUAAGUCAGAUGCUGAUAAAGUACAACAAAUUGCUAACAGUCAAAUCAAAGGUUAUUACAGGCAAGUGUCAGAGAAUGAUUAGAGUGAAUAUUAAAAAAAAAACUAUAAUUUUUAAUCCUUAAUUAAAAGAUAGAUUAUUUACAUUUUUUUUGUAGAACAGUGAAGUAUUUCAAUUAUUUUUAUAUGAAAUUUCAUCAUGAUUCGUAUAUC